RNAcentral lists this ribosomal RNA (532 nucleotides) under Agrilus betuleti. Its description in RNAcentral is "partial 16S ribosomal RNA". It matches the Rfam family "Bacterial large subunit ribosomal RNA", at positions 1804 to 2611 of the family's 2925-position model. Lineage: Eukaryota; Metazoa; Arthropoda; Insecta; Coleoptera; Buprestidae. The record is from RNAcentral.
UUAACAAAAACAUGUCCUUUUGAUUUUAAUUUAAGGUCUGAUCUGCCCAAUGAUAAGUUUAAAUGGCCGCGAUAUUUUGAUCGUGCGAAGGUAGCAUAAUCAUUAGCUUUUUAAUUGAAAGCUGGUAUGAAGGAUUGGACAAGAAUCUAACUGUCUCUAUUUUAAUUUUUGAAUUUUAUUUUUUAGUUAAAAAGCUUAAAUUCUUUUGUAAGACGAGAAGACCCUAUAGAGUUUAAUAUCUAAGAAUUAACGAUUGAUUGUGGAGGAAAUUCUCUUUAGUUGGUAAGAUAUUUGGUUGGGGUGACAGAAAAAUUUUAUAAACUUUUUCUUUUAAAAAUAUAUAUUUAUAGAUUUUUGACUUAAUUUAUUAGUUAAAAGAUUAAAUUACCUUAGGGAUAACAGCGUAAUUUUUCUAGAGAGUUCAUAUCGAAAGAAGAGAUUACGACCUCGAUGUUGGAUUAAAGUUAAAAUUUGGUGUAGAAGCUUUAUUAUUUAGUCUGUUCGACUAUUUAAACUUUACAUGAUCUGAGUU